This 1278-nucleotide long non-coding RNA is filed under the name Coturnix japonica (Japanese quail). RNAcentral's name for it is "lncRNA (ENSCJPG00005012733.1)". The record is from RNAcentral. Lineage: Eukaryota; Metazoa; Chordata; Aves; Galliformes; Phasianidae.
UUUUGUAACAGCUAAUAUUUAUCAUAAGGCAGUCUUGGACCUCAUGGUGAAUACUGAUAGCAAAUCUAUCUUCAAGAGCAAUGGAUACAAGAAACAUGAUGCUAGUUUUAAGUAUACUGACGUUACCAAGUGCUCCCAUGCUGUUAGUUUAAGUGUGUUUUGCAUGUAACUGGCAUAGGGCUCAGAAGCUUCCUGGGAUAAAUCUUUACCCAAGAGCACUUCAAAGACUUUGAGCCUCCUUCUUAAGCUGCAUUGUAAGCAAUUGUUCCUGUAACUAAGAAACCAUGGCUAUGCUGAAUGCCACUGGAUUUUGCCUCUGAAAAAAGGAGUUUGCCUACAGUCCUGGGGCAGAAAUUUGCACUCUUUUGUCUAGGAUAGUUAGAUUUGGGGGCUUAUGUUUGAAGAGCAGUCAACAGAGAGACUUCCAGAUGGUUAUGAUCCUCUUUCUUCUGUUGGAGAAGAAGAAGCAGAGGCACAGGGCAGUGAGAUGGAGAACAGGGUGGAAGAACAGCAGGAGCAAGGUGCCAUGUUUUUACUACACAACUGAAGCAAGAUCACUUGAUCCUUCUGCCACAGCUUAGAUAGAUUUAAUUUCUUUGUUGCUCUGCUGUGUCUAGUUUUACCUGUAAUGCGCAGAGGCUAGAGCUGCUUCUAUAGCAGUGUUGUUUGAUGAGUUGGCCUUAGUUCUAGCAAUAGCAAGUUGAAGUCUGAAUUUCAAUUCUGAAAAAAAAGUUGGCUGGAUUUUCAAAGGAGUCUCCAAAGUGACAGACCCAAGUUCCUGGUAUGGUUUUUCUUUAUCUAUAUUUUAGCUAAAUUCGCCUUCAUCCUUUACACUCUGUUUUCCACAAAUGGAAAUCAGAAAGAUACUUCCAAAUUUUCUUACCUGUAAGAUGAAAACCCUUCAGUGAGCUUUGGACUGAACCCUGGGGAACAGCAUCUUGAACGAACGAGGCUCUGCUUGUCGACCUGGUCUGUGUUGCCAGCACUGCACUGUCUUAAUCCUGACUCCCUCCAAGUACUGCUGGGGACCUCAGGCAGGGUGGGAGAGGCAGUGCCUUGGCUCUUCCCUGAAACAAAAUACCUUUGUCAUACAGUUUGAGCUACAUGUACCCAGAGCCAGUGCCAGAGAAGCGACUCUGUGUCCAUAUACCUGAGCCUGUAGUAGCGUGGAGUAGGACAAGGUUGUGAAGUGGGAGGACCUUCCCACUUGUGUGGAAGGAAGGCUGUCUGCCUCUUGAAUUGGCAAGUGCAGCCUUCCUUAAGACAACUCUCCUUAAG